CAUAAAAUUUUGAACAAUCACUUCCAGUGAUCCAUCUAACAAAAUAUGAAUGUUUAUUCAAAAUAAAAAAUUUACAAAUAUUAUUGUUGUGAUUGAAAGAAGAAUUUCUUCUAGAAUUUCUCUAGAAUGGAACAAUAAUAAGAAAAGCAAUCAACAACAGAUAAAGGAACAUCAUGAAUUAUUAAUUAGUUUUGAUCAACUUAUUACACUAUAUCAACACCAAUUGGUGGAGAUUCAUUAGAAGAACAGUAAAAUAUUCAAGAAUAAGAAGAAAAGUAAAUAUUCAAGAAUUAUCAAAUAAAAUUACAAAAACCAUCUAAAAACUGUUGUACAAUUCGAGGAAUUCUGAAAUAGUUUAGGAAAUUUUAAAUAAAACAGAAUUUAAAUAAUAGAAUACCAGUUUUGAAAAAUCUGCUGAAUAUAUUAAAAAUAAAACUAUGUGUGCAAGUAGUUUAUUUUGUGAUAUAAAUGAUUUUAGAUUUGUACAAUGGGGGCAACAGUGCAACGCGACCACGUAUAAGGAUUUAUUUUGCGCCCCCAUGCGAGUGCGGGGCAUGCCCUAAAACAUACGCUCGAGAUCCACCCUCCUGAUGAUAUAAGAUAGAAGAUUAUUGUGGAAUUAUUAGAAGCUAUCAUGGAAGUUAUUCUGCAGUUAUUAUAUAUGUCAAGUUAAUUAAAUAUCAUUUAAUUGGUAUGUUUAAUAUAAUUAAAGUAUAAUUAAAUAAAAAAAGAAAAUUAUAAAUUUAAUUUACUAAAAACCACUGAAAAUGUUUUCGUAAUAUUUUAUUUUUUGUUCAAAUGAAACCAAAGUAUGUACAAUAUUCAUUUACAUUACUAGGAUGUACUGAAAUAUAUAUAUAUA
This is a long non-coding RNA of Condylostylus longicornis, 862 nucleotides long. RefSeq lists it as uncharacterized. The record is from RefSeq and is a predicted model, not a curated record. NCBI's taxonomy places the organism in Eukaryota, Metazoa, Arthropoda, Insecta, Diptera, Dolichopodidae. The transcript has 2 exons.